CCCGGCUGGCGGCGCCCGCCAAGUUGCCUCAGGUGCCGGGGCGUAGCCGUCGGUUAGGAUCAGACGGGCGAAAGCCACGCUGGAACGGCUUCAGGGGAAAGUUAGCUCUCUGCAAAUAUGGGUGUUGAUAUUCCUGCCUCAGAACUACCCUCCUGGGACGUGCCCACGUCGCCAGGUCUGCUCAUCGUGCCAGACGUACAGGUAUAUGAUGACUGUAGAUCCAUAAUCUAGUGAAAAUGGUGUCUUCUGACUGCAUAGUAUCUGAUGUCGUCACUGAGGAAGAUGAAACCUCUUUGUCAAUUACCGUAGACGCCUCAGGGAUCUCUGCCUUUACAUUCACUAUAAAUUGAACUUUUGAAGAUGGCACCUCUGCACACUGAUUUUCAACAUAAUGUUUCAGUUCUGCUACAGCCAACUGGUCAGUCACAAUGAACUCCUCUUCAUAAGGAAACAU
Molecule: long non-coding RNA, 454 nt
Organism: Rhea pennata
Lineage: Eukaryota; Metazoa; Chordata; Aves; Rheiformes; Rheidae
Exons: 3
Source: RefSeq, a predicted model, not a curated record